Molecule: unclassified non-coding RNA, 221 nt
Filed under: rhizosphere metagenome
Description: partial ribosomal RNA internal transcribed spacer region
Source: RNAcentral
GUAGGUGAACCUGCGGAAGGAUCAUUACAGAGUAUCAUGCCCUUCGGGGUAGAUCUCCACCCUUGAAUAACAUACCUUUGUUGCUUUGGCAGGACGCACUCGUGCCAGGGGCUUCGGCUCUUGAGUGCCUGCCAGAGGACCACAACUCUUGUUCUUUACUGGCCUCUCUGAGUAUUUAUACAAAUAAGUUAAAACUUUCAACAACGGAUCUCUUGGUUCUG